RNAcentral lists this ribosomal RNA (434 nucleotides) under uncultured bacterium. RNAcentral describes it as "partial 16S ribosomal RNA". It matches the Rfam family "Bacterial small subunit ribosomal RNA", at positions 29 to 507 of the family's 1533-position model. The record is from RNAcentral.
AACGAACGCUGGCGGCAUGCCUAACACAUGCAAGUCGAACGAGAUCUUCGGGUCUAGUGGCGCACGGGUGCGUAACGCGUGGGAAUCUGCCCUCAGGUUCGGAAUAACCAUUGGAAACGAUGGCUAAUACCGGAUGAUGACGUUAAGUCCAAAGAUUUAUCGCCUGAGGAUGAGCCCGCGUAGGAUUAGCUAGUUGGUGUGGUAAAGGCGCACCAAGGCGACGAUCCUUAGCUGGUCUGAGAGGAUGAUCAGCCACACUGGGACUGAGACACGGCCCAGACUCCUACGGGAGGCAGCAGUGGGGAAUAUUGGACAAUGGGCGAAAGCCUGAUCCAGCGAUGCCGCGUGAGUGAUGAAGGCCUUAGGGUUGUAAAGCUCUUUUACCCGGGAUGAUAAUGACAGUACCGGGAGAAUAAGCUCCGGCUAACUCCGUG